CACGUUUGGUACAGACCAGUGUGGAGGGCCACACAAUAGGCAGGAGCCUCAUCGGCAUCCUUGGCCACCCAAGAGUACAGGAAGCCCAGGAGAGAAGAAAAGCAAGUAUUGCUGUUGGAUUUUGCACGUUUUUAAGUCACAGUGGAUUUAAGUUGGAGUUGGACUAUGAGAUAUGCUGACUGAGAGAGAUAGAGAAAUCACCACAGCUUGUG
RNAcentral lists this long non-coding RNA (212 nucleotides) under Cavia porcellus (domestic guinea pig). Its description in RNAcentral is "lncRNA (ENSCPOG00000040642.1)". Lineage: Eukaryota; Metazoa; Chordata; Mammalia; Rodentia; Caviidae. The record is from RNAcentral.